CAGUCGCCACGGUAAGGCAGAGGAUGCAAGCGUUAUCCGGAAUGAUUGGGCGUAAAGCGUCUGUAGGUGGCUUUUCAAGUCCGCCGUCAAAUCCCAGGGCUCAACCCUGGACAGGCGGUGGAAACUACCAAGCUGGAGUACGGUAGGGGCAGAGGGAAUUUCCGGUGGAGCGGUGAAAUGCGUAGAUAUUGGGAGGAAUACCGGUGGCGAAGGCGACUUUCUGGACUAAAACUGACGCUGAGGCACGAAAGUGUGGGUAGCAAACAGGAUUAGAUACCCGCGUAGUCCCUGUCUCUUAUAC
Molecule: ribosomal RNA, 301 nt
Filed under: uncultured bacterium
Lineage: Bacteria
Description: partial 16S ribosomal RNA
Rfam family: Bacterial small subunit ribosomal RNA
Source: RNAcentral